UAGGGAAUAUUGGUUAAUGGGCGAAAGCCUGACCCAGCAACGCCGCGUGAGUGAUGAAGGCCUUCGGGUUGUAAAACUCUUUUUAUGGGGAUGAGGAAGGACAGUACUCAUAGAAUAAGUCUCGGCUAACUACGUGCCAGCAGCCGCGGUAACACGUAGGAGACAAGCGUUAUCCGGAUUUACUGGGUGUAAAGCGCGUGCAGGCGGUUUUGUAAGUUGGAUGUGAAAGCUCCUGGCUUAACUGGGAGAGGUCGUUCAAGACUGCAAGACUAGAGGAUGUCAGAGGGGAGUGGAAUUCCGAGUGUAGCGGUAAAAUGCAUAGAUAUUCGGAAGAACACCAGUGGCGAAGGCGGCUCUCUGGGGCAUAUCUGACGCUCAGACGCGAAAGCUAGGGUAGCAA
Molecule: ribosomal RNA, 400 nt
Filed under: uncultured bacterium
Lineage: Bacteria
Description: bacterial SSU rRNA
Rfam family: Bacterial small subunit ribosomal RNA
Source: RNAcentral